UUGAACGCUGGCGGUAUGCUUAACACAUGCAAGUCGAACGGAGACGAUACUAGCUUGCUAGUAGGCGUCGAGUGGCGGACGGGUGAGUAACGCGUAGGAAUCUACCUGAUAGAGGGGGAUAGCCCGAAGAAAUUCGGAUUAAUACCGCAUAAUCUAUUCGUAGUAAAGUGGGGGACUUUCGAGCCUCACGCUAUCAGAUGAGCCUGCGUAAGAUUAGCUAGUUGGUAGGGUAAAAGCCUACCAAGGCGACGAUCUUUAGCUGGUCUGAGAGGAUGAUCAGCCACAUCGGGACUGAGACACGGCCCGAACUCCUACGGGAGGCAGCAGUGGGGAAUAUUGGACAAUGGGGGCAACCCUGAUCCAGCAAUACCGCGUGUGUGAAGAAGGCCUGAGGGUUGUAAAGCACUUUCAAUUGUGAAGAAAAGCUAGUGGUUAAUAGCCAUUAGCCUUGACAUUAACUUUAGAAGAAGCACCGGCUAACUCCGUGCCAGCAGCCGCGGUAAUACGGAGGGUGCAAGCGUUAAUCGGAAUUACUGGGCGUAAAGCGUGCGUAGGCGGUUUAUUAAGUCAGAUGUGAAAGCCCCGGGCUUAACCUGGGAACUGCAUUUGAAACUGGUCAACUAGAGUAUGGUAGAGGAAAGUGGAAUUUCUGGUGUAGCGGUGAAAUGCGUAGAUAUCAGAAGGAACAUCAAUGGCGAAGGCAACUUUCUGGACCAAUACUGACGCUGAGGUACGAAAGCGUGGGUAGCAAACAGGAUUAGAUACCCUGGUAGUCCACGCCGUAAACGAUGAUAACUAGCCGUUGGGGGGAUUUACCCCUUAGUGGCGAAGCUAACGCGUUAAGUUAUCCGCCUGGGGAGUACGGCCGCAAGGUUAAAACUCAAAGGAAUUGACGGGGACCCGCACAAGCGGUGGAGCAUGUGGUUUAAUUCGAUGCAACGCGAAGAACCUUACCUGGUCUUGACAUACUUGUCGCGGAUUCCAGAGAUGGAUUCCUUCAGCUCGGCUGGACAAUGUACAGGUGCUGCAUGGCUGUCGUCAGCUCGUGUCGUGAGAUGUUCGGUUAAGUCCGGCAACGAGCGCAACCCACGUCCUUAGUUACCAGCAUUUAGUUGGGUACCCUAAGGAGACUGCCGGUGAUAAGCCGGAGGAAGGUGUGGACGACGUCAAGUCAUCAUGGCCCUUACGGGUUGGGCUACACACGUGCUACAAUGGCAUCUACAGUGAGUU
Molecule: ribosomal RNA, 1230 nt
Filed under: uncultured marine bacterium
Lineage: Bacteria
Description: partial 16S ribosomal RNA
Rfam family: Bacterial small subunit ribosomal RNA
Source: RNAcentral